Molecule: non-coding RNA, 99 nt
Organism: Populus trichocarpa (black cottonwood)
Lineage: Eukaryota; Viridiplantae; Streptophyta; Magnoliopsida; Malpighiales; Salicaceae
Source: Rfam
UCAUUUAUAUAAUUUUAUUCGUCUAGUUAUGACAGACCUACACUUGACUGCGCAGAAUCACUUGCAUGAAUUACUGUGUGAACAAUAAAUUUUUAAGAU